CCGCUAAACAUAUGGCCUUUUUUUAAAUUUCCCUCAUUUUAGUUUUCCUUCAGACCGGAACAUUCUCAUCACUUCUCUCUCCCUCUCGCUCCCUCUCCCUCUCUCACAAUUUUAGGAUUCUCUUUUUUUUUUUGGAAGCAAUUUUAGGAUUCUCUUUCACUGGACCAUUCAAGAGCUCUAGCUCCUUGUUUGCUAGAAGACUAUUGCUCGAGCCCUAUUAAUUCAAAGUUGAAUGCUCAGUGACAGUCCCAAGUGAUUGCUCAGGGAAUCAAUGCCGGAGAUAUUAAUAAGUUUGAAGACGCUGGGAUCUACACCUGCAAUGGCUUGAUGAUGCAUAUGAAGAAGAACUUGACUGGAAUCAAAGGUUUAUCUGAGGCUAAAGUUGAUAAGAUAUGCGAAGCUGCUGAAAACCAUUUCAGCUAAGAGAUUUUAUUUCUCAUAUGUGUUCCUUCAUUGUAAGCAUUUAUGUUGCUGAAAUGUUCAGAGACAAAUUCAACUUGUUAUUCAUAGUUUGAGAGAGGCUCUAGAUGGCGCUGACAGGUUCCAGAAUACCCAUCAAAGGCAACAAUUUCAAUAUGCAGAAUUUAGUAUAGAUCAGUGAGUUAUGGCUAUAAGGCUAAGCAUAUCUUGGCUAGGUUGUAUUCAUUCUAGAGUCGCAAAGAAAAAACUUCUUUUGGAUGAUAUGGCAGCAGAGGAAACAUUAGAGGUGGCCAUUGCCGCAGAUCAAGUGGCUGCUUGAACAAUGGACCCUUUUACUCACCAGCCUUUGUCCAGAGAUUUUGUCACAUGCUUUUGAUCAGGCUUCCUCACCAAGUAACCCUCAGUUUGCAUUUGGGAGCUUGUUGACAAGGCUAAAAUGGAAAGAGAUGAAUUGAGGAGGUGGGGAGUGUUGUGGUGGCUUUGUGGUAGUCUUCCAUAAAAUUUAUGGAUUAGUUGGUGGCAUGGCAUCUCUCAGUGCAUCUGUCCGAUAUAGUUAUCCUCUUUGGCCUGCAGGGGCAGUUAAAGUUAUAUGCAAGUCAAUUUGGUGUUCUGUUGUGUUUUGAAUUUGAAUUGUAGCAUGAACUGGGAUGCAGUUUUUGCUCUAGGAUUGAAGUGAUUUGGAUUCCACAAUUCUUGACUCUUUGUUUCUGAUUUAUUAUGACGUCAUUUUCUCUGAUUGAAAAGACAAUGAUGGAAGAAAUAUUAGUUUGGGCAUCA
Prunus avium (sweet cherry) is the source of this 1197-nucleotide non-coding RNA. The record is from RefSeq and is a predicted model, not a curated record. NCBI's taxonomy places the organism in Eukaryota, Viridiplantae, Streptophyta, Magnoliopsida, Rosales, Rosaceae.